AAACAGGGCUGGGAGCAUCAGGAUAUAGGAUAUAAAGUGCGGGUGGAUGAGGUUGAUCCAGGUGAUUUGAGCAGAAGCUGCUAAAGAAUGAUGAAGACUCUGAUUGUCGUCGUGCUCUUGCUGAGCUUAGCCACCCUUCCUGUCAUUACACAAAGGGGUGCGGCUGAAAAGCCAGAGUGGCAGGGUGACAAUGUUGACCUUGUGAACAUUGACAACUCAGCAAAUGAUGAUCCAUCCAUCAAGCAAUUAAGUGGUCGCAAGAUGAAACCCCCCCCUGGUUAAAAAAACAGAACUGGACAGCUGUGUUGUCAUGACAACGAAGAGCAGCAAAAAGAGCAGCAAAAGGCCAACACAGACCAACGUCUAUCUCAAUGUGACACACGUCACUAUAAUUAUCAUCAUCAUGAUGUGUUUGAUUGACGGCUGCAAAUAAACACACGAGUCAUGCUC
Molecule: long non-coding RNA, 450 nt
Organism: Sebastes umbrosus (honeycomb rockfish)
Lineage: Eukaryota; Metazoa; Chordata; Actinopteri; Perciformes; Sebastidae
Exons: 5
Source: RefSeq, a predicted model, not a curated record